UGGGGGAUAUUGCACAAUGGGGGAAACCCUGAUGCAGCGACGCCGCGUGAGUGAAGAAGUAUUUCGGUAUGUAAAGCUCUAUCAGCAGGGAAGAGAAUGACGGUACCUGAGUAAGAAGCCCCGGCUAACUACGUGCCAGCAGCCGCGGUAAUACGUAGGGGGCAAGCGUUAUCCGGAUUUACUGGGUGUAAAGGGAGCGUAGACGGCAAAGCAAGUCUGAAGUGAAAGCCCGGGGCUCAACCCCGGGACUGCUUUGGAAACUGUUCUGCUAGAGUGCUGGAGAGGUAAGCGGAAUUCCUAGUGUAGCGGUGAAAUGCGUAGAUAUUAGGAGGAACACCAGUGGCGAAGGCGGCUUACUGGACAGUAACUGACGUUGAGGCUCGAAAGCGUGGGGAGCAAACA
RNAcentral lists this ribosomal RNA (402 nucleotides) under uncultured bacterium. Its description in RNAcentral is "bacterial SSU rRNA". It matches the Rfam family "Bacterial small subunit ribosomal RNA", at positions 355 to 774 of the family's 1533-position model. The record is from RNAcentral.